CAGUAGGGAGGAAGGUAGUGUAGUUAACACCUGCAUUAUUUGACGUUACCUACAGAAGAAGCACCGGCUAACUCCGUGCCAGCAGCCGCGGUAAUACGGAGGGUGCGAGCGUUAAUCGGAAUUACUGGGCGUAAAGCGCAUGCAGGCGGCCUGUUAAGUCAGAUGUGAAAGACCCGGGGCGUUAACCUCGGAAUUGCAUUUGAAACUGGCAGGCUAGAGUCUUGUAGAGGGGGUAGGAAGUUUCUAGGUGUAGCGGUGAAAUAGCGUAGAGAUCUGAAGGAAUACCAGUGGCGAAGGCGGCCCCCUCGGACAAAGACUGACGCUCAGAUGCGAAAGCGUGGGGAGCAAACAGGAUUAGAUACCCUGGUAG
RNAcentral lists this ribosomal RNA (370 nucleotides) under uncultured bacterium. Its description in RNAcentral is "bacterial SSU rRNA". It matches the Rfam family "Bacterial small subunit ribosomal RNA", at positions 434 to 793 of the family's 1533-position model. The record is from RNAcentral.